RNAcentral lists this ribosomal RNA (734 nucleotides) under uncultured Leptotrichia sp. RNAcentral's name for it is "bacterial SSU rRNA". It matches the Rfam family "Bacterial small subunit ribosomal RNA", at positions 28 to 776 of the family's 1533-position model. The record is from RNAcentral. Lineage: Bacteria; Fusobacteriati; Fusobacteriota; Fusobacteriia; Fusobacteriales; Leptotrichiaceae.
GAUGAACGCGGGCGGCGCGCCUAACACAUGCAAGUCGAACGGUUAAGGCCCCCUUUAGGGGGCGCAUAGAGUGGCGAACGGGUGAGUAACACGUGACCAACCCGCCCCCCCCACCGGGACAACCUCGGGAAACCGAGGCUAAUACCGGAUACGCCGGGGCCCCCGCAUGGGGGCUCCGGGAAAGCCUUGGCGGGAGGGGACGGGGUCGCGGCCCAUCAGGUAGACGGCGGGGCGAAGGCCCGCCGUGCCGACGACGGGUAGCCGGGCUGAGAGGCCGAUCGGCCACAUUGGGACUGAGACACGGCCCAGACUCCUACGGGAGGCAGCAGUGGGGAAUAUUGCGCAAUGGGCGAAAGCCUGACGCAGCGACGCCGCGUGCGGGAAGGAGGCCUUCGGGUCGUAAACCGCUUUCAGCAGGGAAGAAGCCUGACGGUACCUGCAGAAGAAGCCCCGGCUAACUACGUGCCAGCAGCCGCGGUAAUACGGAAGGUCCAGGCGUUAUCCGGAUUUAUUGGGUUUAAAGGGAGCGUAGGCCGUGGAUUAAGCGUGUUGUGAAAUGUAGACGCUCAACGUCUGAAUUGCAGCGCGAACUGGUUCACUUGAGUAUGCACAACGUAGGCGGAAUUCGUCGUGUAGCGGUGAAAUGCUUAGAUAUGACGAAGAACUCCGAUUGCGAAGGCAGCUUACGGGAGCACAACUGACGCUGAAGCUCGAAGGUGCGGGUAUCAAACAGG